Mirounga angustirostris (Northern elephant seal) is the source of this 2187-nucleotide long non-coding RNA. RefSeq lists it as uncharacterized. NCBI's taxonomy places the organism in Eukaryota, Metazoa, Chordata, Mammalia, Carnivora, Phocidae. The record is from RefSeq and is a predicted model, not a curated record. The transcript is spliced from 3 exons.
CCGCCGCCGCCUGCGGCCGCCCGCGCUGUUGACUCAACGUCCGCCUCCGCGGGAAGGGGAGGAGGAGCCGCGGCGGCCGGGCCGCAGCCACAGUCUGGCCGCCCCCCGCCCUCCCCGCGCCGCCCGGGCCCCCGCCCCCCGGACCGCCACGCACCCAGCCCCGACCCCCGAUCCCCCCCGCGCAGUGCCCCGGAGCCCGGGCCCCACGUUUACACCCCCCCCAACACACACACCACGAUUCUCGCAGGGAGGGGGCCGAAGGGGUCCCAGCAUGCUGGUCACUACUAGCUCCGGGAUUCCUGCUCUCCCCUGGCGGGAGGCGCGCUUCACAGGCACCUGCGUGACCCCCCAAAUCCAGCCAGCCCCUGACCCACUUCCCAGCGGGGGAGGGCGGUGGCUUUGUUCCCCAGUGAACCUUAGGUACGGGGCCUGGCACAUAGUAGGUGCUGUACAAAUAAAUGUUUGUUGGUCACGGGAACGAAGGGACCACGCGUUAUUAUAUAUUUAACAUUGUUUUUGAAGCUACUAAUGUUUACUUACAUUUAUUUCGCAAAUUAUCAGCUGUCAUAAAUAGAAAGCAAAUGAUAAAAUAGAAAACAAAACAAUAUUGAAUUCUAAAUAGGACCAAAAGCUCUGAGUGGGAUGCCGUGCUCUGUCAGGGCAGGUGUUAAAGACCUGCUGGCUUCGAUCUGAGGCUGUCUCCUGAGAGGAAAGACUGAAGAGAAUUACAGAGGGCAGGGAAUCUUCACAAAUAAGUCAUUAAUAUUCAAGGUGGUUUUCCCAGGUCUCCUAAAAUCCUCUCAUGGACCACCACCAAGGUGAGCUUUCCAGUCUUGCAGAAGCCCAACCUGUGAAGACAAGCAGCCCAUUGUGGAUCCCGGAUCAACCCUGUGAGAUGAGUGUUCUCGUCAUUUAUCAGAUGUGGAAACAGAUCUGAAAAAUGGAGAAACAGAGACUUGGUGAGGACAUCUGGCUCCCAGAGGGUCUCUUCAGCAUCUUGGAAACCUGAACACGAGGUACCACACCUGGAAGAAGGCCAUAUUGCAUUUUAUCGUUGGCCUCAUUUUGUCGGCAUGUAGACUGUAAAAUCGUGUUAAUAAUUCCCUGCCAUUGUCUGUAGCUUUGACUCUAGGCUCAGCCACGUAACUAGCUUUAGCUAGUGCAAGGUUGCAAAUGUGCAGGGGCACUAAUCCUUGCUUAUGCUCUUGGGAACCUGUGAACCCUACCAAACAAACAAGCCCAGGAUAGCUUGCUGGAUGACGGACUCACGACCAACAACCAGCCAACUGCCACAUAUGUGAGUGAUGCCAGUGACCCCCACAGAUGAGAUGUUCAUGCAUGAGCCCAGCUGAAACCGGCAGAAGAACCACCCAGCUGAGCACUGCCCAAUUUGCUGACCCACAGAUCACAUGGCUAAAUACAUGGCUGUUAUGUCUGAAGCCACUAAGGUUUGGGGUGGUUUGCUAUAUAUCAGCAGAUAACCAACACAGAUGGUGAUACACUGAUCAAGAGCCUGGCUGGUCGGAACUGUCCCUGGCAGCCCUUAACAAGCAACAACCCCUGGCAUCAUGACCUUCUGGGCCCUCAUCUAAAGAAGAUUCUACAGCUCGGGCUAUGAGAAAGAGCCAGUCUACCAGGGUCAUGACGUUUCUCUGAUGAUGUGCCUCUCCCAGUUGGGAGCAGCCUCUCCAGCCUGGCCAUGACCAUGACUGCAAAGAGAACCCUUCAUGGAUUUUUGAGAAUAGCUUCUCUGAGCCAGGCCUUCCUCUGCAACUUGCAACCACGGUGAGACCGGAGAUUCAAGACCCCAUAACGCAAGGUCCACCAAAGUGUUUUACUGCCCCUUCAUUCCCGUCAGAGGCGAAUGGGACCAGCACUGGUGUCUGCUUUCCACCAAAACUGUGAUUCCUUUCAGUGUCCAAACGGUUGAGCUGCUGUGGCUCCCUGAGCUGGGGGCAGACAAAGAGGUGUUGCCUGCAGUCCGCAGCCGGGGCUUGUGGGUGUACUUGAGCAAAUGUUUCAAAGGAUGGCAGUGAUUUGCUUGCUUUUACUACAUCCACGGGGCAGAAAUUGUCAGGGCUUGGUGACACCGAUUAUAAUGCUUUGACCUCAUUCAGUCACCAAAGGGCAAAUUUCUCUUUGUUCUCUAGCAGAAACACAACUUGGCAAAUAAACAUGAUUUCUAAA